Papaver somniferum (opium poppy) is the source of this 1059-nucleotide long non-coding RNA. RefSeq lists it as uncharacterized. Lineage: Eukaryota; Viridiplantae; Streptophyta; Magnoliopsida; Ranunculales; Papaveraceae. The transcript is spliced from 6 exons. The record is from RefSeq and is a predicted model, not a curated record.
CCAACAUAAAAAAAAACUAAAAACGUAGCUCUCUCUCCUCCUCGACUCCAUUGUUCCAACCUACUAGAGAAUCAUUCUCACCUUGUUAUCAAUUGUUUUCUUAUGAAAUCCUAAAUCGUGUUAACCAACUUAACCUUAAAUAACAUUAAAAUCAAAUCAAAACUGAAAUUAUUCUGAGUUUCCUCCUUUCUUCUUCUUCUUCUUCGACGAUAAUCUGGGUAAUGAUAAUAUGGUGUUACAAACCCUAGGUACUGAAAUAUCGUACGAUAUGGGAUUUCCUAAUUGCUGGAAUUGACUGCUAUGUGGAGUAGAUGAGGAAAGGAAAAAUAAAAUAAAAUAGAAGUAGGUCAAUAAAGUGGUGGUGGUGGUUAUUCUUAACUUCAUCAGAAAAAGAUGAACAUCCUAAAGAUUGAUAGGAACAGUUUUCUAGAAGGAUUACUGGUUUUGGUCGAAUCGGUGAUUGAGUGAGUGAGUUUGGAAAAUUGGUGGUUGAUCCAAAAACCAAUGAACUUCUGCACUUUACGGAGAAACCCGAGACGUUUGUAUGUACAAGGCCCAAAGUUCGCUGACUUUUUUGAUCAUAUUUAAGUGAUACAGUGUUUUAACGAUUCAAGUGCUAAUCUCCAACGUGUAUCCAGCUUUCUCUUCAGGUUGCAACAAACUAAUAUUGAACGUGUAUCCAGCUUUCUGUUCAGUCCGCAAAAAGUGAUUCCCUACUGAUUUUAUAAGCCUGGAUCAAGAUAUAAGUAAACUCCUAUUGCUGGGAAGAGAAAUAACUUUAUACUUUUGAGAGUAUAUUUCUGGGAACACAUCAAAACUCCUGAGUAGACCAAUCUGCAAGUAAAGGAAUGUUGCAUCAUCCAUCUUUUGAGAGUAAUGUCCAACAUUUGUUGGAAACUCUGUACUAGUCUUGAAUUUCUGUUAUGCUUAGGUUUUCUUUGUGUUGGUUCCAGUGAAAUUAUGACCUUGUAAUUCUUUUCUGAAUGAAUAAAUGAUGUUGGAAUGAUUGCAGCGUGAUAAUUUUAUUUCCAUGUCAAUCUGAAUGAAUAAAUGAUGUUG